UACGUAGGGUGCGAGCGUUGUCCGGAAUUAUUGGGCGUAAAGAGCUUGUAGGCGGUUUGUCGCGUCUGCCGUGAAAAUCCGGGGCUCAACCCCGGACUUGCGGUGGGUACGGGCAGACUAGAGUGUGGUAGGGGAGACUGGAAUUCCCGGUGUAGCGGUGAAAUGCGCAGAUAUCAGGAAGAACACCCGUGGCGAAAGCGGCUCUCUGGAACGGUACUGACGCUGAGACGCGAAAGCGUGGGGAGCGAACAGG
RNAcentral lists this ribosomal RNA (253 nucleotides) under uncultured bacterium. Its description in RNAcentral is "partial 16S ribosomal RNA". It matches the Rfam family "Bacterial small subunit ribosomal RNA", at positions 524 to 776 of the family's 1533-position model. The record is from RNAcentral.